RNAcentral lists this long non-coding RNA (1578 nucleotides) under Daphnia pulex (common water flea). Its description in RNAcentral is "uncharacterized LOC124196626, transcript variant X2". The record is from RNAcentral. Lineage: Eukaryota; Metazoa; Arthropoda; Branchiopoda; Diplostraca; Daphniidae.
GGUUGGCGUUUCGAGAGAAGUGCCAGUUUGUUGCUUGACUUGCGGUUGGACGAAGAUUUAUGUCACGUUGCCUUGGGCUCAUAGACAGCAAAUGGUGCGAUCAAGUGCAGAACAUUCAAGUGUCAACCUCGGAGAAGUACAUAAAAAGGCAAACGGCCAACCAGUGGCCUCGCGAUCUUUCUGUGGAAAUAUUACUAGAAGAGUUGCAAUUCGCCGAGCGUUUAGAUCUGUGGAAGUGGAAACUAGCCCUUUUGCACUGUUCCAAUCACUACGAAUCCAGCAGUCAACAACAUUCGCCAGAACGUCAUCAACGCCAAAGUCAAGAAGUUGUUCAAUGCUGAGUCUGAGACCGAAUUGAUGACACUGGGCAACAAAUUUAACACUGUAUCUCAGCUGUGCCCAGUCUGAGCCGUUCAACUGCAGGCCUUUAGGUUCGCCAUCUCUCAUUCCGGUCUAUUGCAGCAGUAGUUAACGCUCGAGUACAACGUCGUACAAGAUUGUACAACGUCCUACGAUAGGAGAUCUGCUAAAAGAGGGCUACCGUCUUUCUUUCGGUUUCAUCGGUUUCUUUUCAUCAAUCCAAUGAACAUCACUGGUGAGUUGUAAGUUACCCUUGCUAUGGGAAAACUUUACAGCUACUCUCUUUCAGAAAUUCAGACUUCAAUGAAAAAUCUUGGCAGCAAUUCAGUUUAAACUGUGACAAAGUACGUUCUUUUUUUAUCUUACCUGUAUUAUUAAGCUUUUAACUCUUUAGUGGUAAAUUAGAUUAGGCAACACUAUCUUCGUUGUGAAUUUCAGUCAAGUUAUUUUACUUAUUGACUGAUUUUAAUACGAUCGUCUUCUUUCGCGUAUCGACCGACAGAUGCUAGGCCCUUCCAUUUCUAUCUUCACUUGUCUUCCUCGUUUUUAAGUAGCUUCAACUCCAAACUGCCGCGUAGUUCUUGAAAUUUAGCGUUUUAAAAAUAGUAAUCUAAUAGAUCUUGUUGGGAAAAGUGUUCGCGUGAUGUUCACCCUGAUGAUCAAGGUGCAAACAUCAGAUCCUGAUAGGACGACUGUACUCACUUCCUUUUCCUGCCGGUUACUAACUUUUAAGAUUUCGCCAAAUUCAUUUAAGGGAAAUGUGUCGUUCCUCUUGAGUCAGAGGUUAGGAUAGGAAACAAUAAGAAAAUAACCGCUCAUCGGUGAGGUCGAAAAGUUUAGUUGUCCAAUUUUCACUGGUCGUUAGAUAACUGUUUGGUCUGUUCCAACAGAGUGUGGCGUGUCUGUCGUCAUCAGCAUUUGUUGGUCAACUUCUCACAAAACCAGCAAAUGCUCGAUGUAAUAAACAACGCUCUUCUUUAACAAUGAACUUGAAAAGCUAUAAUUGCUACAGUCAAGGGGUCCGCAACUCAAAUUUACUACAAUAAAAAAGGUAAAAAAGCAAAAAAAAAGUGAAAAAAGGAAAAAAAAAGGAAAUUUACUUUACGUGCUAAAAGAAGGGCGCGCGCGAACGAACCCCCCCUCCUCCCCAUCCCCUCCCUACCCUUUUAUUUUCGCUUGAAGGAAAGCCUAUCUCAAAAGUAAAAAAGGAAAAAUAAA